This 1221-nucleotide ribosomal RNA is filed under the name Triticum aestivum (bread wheat). RNAcentral describes it as "partial small subunit ribosomal RNA". The record is from RNAcentral. Lineage: Eukaryota; Viridiplantae; Streptophyta; Magnoliopsida; Poales; Poaceae.
AUGGGUGCUCACGGAGAUCGCCGCCGCCACCGCCGCGAAGAGGUGGGGGUGCUAUUGGACGAAGAGGAGGAGGAACUCGAGCACCACGCCAGGGCUUGCGGUGGCGCCACGAGUGGGCUGGUGGAUCAAGAAUUGGGUGGCUGCCAAGAAGGUGGAGGGGGCAUGGUGUUUGAAGCUAGCAGUAGCGUGGGGAGCGUGAGUGCGACCAUGGGCCCGCCCCCGAUCAUGUGCUGGCCGCCGCCGGCCCCGUCGCUGUCGCCGCAGGAGCCACUCCACGGCGCGAUCCACCACCACCACAACAUAGGCAUCGGCGGCCAGGGCCCCUUCUUCCCGUUGCUGCCGCCGCUGCCCCCGCAGCCACCUCCGCCGCCGCCCUUCUUAGCCGACUUGUACGCCCGGCGCGCGCUCCAGUUCGCCUACGACCACUCGGGCGGCGCGUCGUCCUCGUCCGACCCGCUCGGCUUCGGCGCCGGGCUCUACAUGGGGCACCACGGCUCCCCCGUCCACGGGAUGAUGAUGGCCCCGCCCUUCGGCGCGUCGCCGUUCAGCGACUUCGGCCGGAUGACCGCGCAGGAGAUCAUGGACGCCAAGGCGCUGGCCGCGUCCAAGAGCCACAGCGAGGCCGAGCGUCGCCGCCGCGAGCGCAUCAACUCGCACCUGGCCCGCCUCCGCAGCCUCCUCCCCAACACAACCAAGACGGACAAGGCGUCGCUGCUGGCGGAGGUGAUCCAGCACGUCAAGGAGCUCAAGCGGCAGACGUCGGAGAUCAGGGAGGAGGCGUGCCCGCUCCCCACCGAGGCCGACGAGCUCACCGUCGAUGCCUCCAGCGACGAGGACGGCCGCCUGCUCGUGCGCGCCUCGCUCUGCUGCGACGACCGCCCCGACCUCCUGCCGGACCUCAUCCGCGCGCUCAAGGCGCUCCGCCUGCGCGCGCUCAAGGCCGAGAUCACCACCCUCGGCGGCCGCGUCAAGAACGUGCUCGUCGUCACUGAGGACGACAGCAUCGCGUGCGACGGGGACCAGCAGGACGAGGACGGGAACAUGCAGGCGCCCAUGUCGCCGCAGCACGCCGUCGCGUCCAUCCAGGAGGCGCUCAGGGCGGUCAUGGAGCGCACGUCGUCGUCGUCCGGCGCCGAGGACUCCGGGGGCUCGGCCAGCGGCGGGCUCAAGCGGCAGCGCACCACCAGCCUCUCGGCGAUCCUAGAGAACAGGUCCAUCUAG